Molecule: ribosomal RNA, 315 nt
Filed under: Vacrothele palpator
Lineage: Eukaryota; Metazoa; Arthropoda; Arachnida; Araneae; Macrothelidae
Description: partial small subunit ribosomal RNA
Source: RNAcentral
AUUUUUUGGCGGCCUUUUUUCUUCCUAGAGGAACUUACUUUCUAAUCGAUAAUGCGCGAUAAAUUUCACUUUUUUUCAAGUUUUUAUACCGCCGUCUAAAGAUCUAAUUUUAAUUUUUCAUCCCUUGGAUCAAGUAAAAAAGUCAGGUCAAGGUGAAGCUUAUAAAAAAGAUAAAACCGAGUUACUUAUUUUUUAUAAAAAUGAAUUCCAAGCUAAAGCCUAAAUGAAAAAGGAUCUAGUAGUAACAUAACUUUAAAAUAGGUAUGUGAAUUACUUAAUGAGGUGUACAUAUCGCCCGUCACCCUCAUCUAAAGA